GUGUUUCUAGCAGAGUUGGAGGAUAAGUAUAACUACAGGAACCCAUAUGAAAUAUCAUCUCACAUUAAUAAUUUGGUAGUUUUUGAGAUGGUGCUCCAUGGCGUAUGUUGCGGCAUUUUCCUUGUGACAGGGCAUUGGUUCAUGUUCCAGCUUACAUUCACCUUUGUUAUAUAUAAUACUAUCUUAUUCUUUAAUGGACAACAUAAUAUUGAUGUAACUACGCAUUUCGGAUCCUUUAAGGCUAAAACGACGUAUCAAUUUGUUAAGCUUGCAUUUUAUUGGCCCCUCCUUGUUGUAGUAAUCGACAGGAUGGUUACAUGGGCUUGGAGUACAUAGAUUCAUGGAUUAUAAACAUUAGUUGUAGCUCUUAUGGGGCUGCGUGUGGUUCGAGGAAAGAGUCACACAACAUAGUUUGAAUCUCUGUUCAUCAGGUUUUGUAAAAUUCUUGUACUUUUGUUGACGUAAACAGUUGCUUUGGGGUUGUAGUAAACCAAUAUGCUUGUGAUGAUAUGA
Helianthus annuus (common sunflower) is the source of this 513-nucleotide RNA transcript. RefSeq lists it as uncharacterized. The record is from RefSeq and is a predicted model, not a curated record. NCBI's taxonomy places the organism in Eukaryota, Viridiplantae, Streptophyta, Magnoliopsida, Asterales, Asteraceae. The transcript is spliced from 3 exons.